Molecule: RNA transcript, 4311 nt
Organism: Columba livia (rock pigeon)
Lineage: Eukaryota; Metazoa; Chordata; Aves; Columbiformes; Columbidae
Gene: CCNH
Gene name: cyclin H
Exons: 13
Source: RefSeq, a predicted model, not a curated record
UGGCGGUCGGCGUCCCCUUCCCGCCGAACUACAACUCCCGGCAUGCCCCGCGCCGGCCGUGAGCGCGGGCGGUGGGAGGAGACGGAGAGGCGAGAGGAGGAGGAGGAGCGGCCGCGCAUGUUGUCGGCGCCAUCAUGUACCACAGCAGCACGCAGAGGCGGCACUGGACCUUCCGCGAUGAGGACGAGCUGGCGCAGAAGCGGGCCGAGGCCAACCGCAAGUACCGCAGCAAAGCGGCGGCGAGCGGGAAGGUCCAGCCGACCGACCCCGUCCUCCUGGAGCCUCACGAGGAGCUAGCGAUCUGCAAGUAUUACGAGAAGCGGCUGCUGGAUUUCUGCGCAGUGUUCAAGCCGGCCAUGCCAAGAUCUGUGGUGGGAACAGCUUGCAUGUAUUUCAAACGCUUUUACCUCAAUAACUCAGUGAUGGAGUAUCAUCCUCGGAUAAUAAUGCUAACAUGUGCGUUUUUGGCCUGUAAAGUAGAUGAAUUUAAUGUGUCCAGUGUCCAGUUUGUUGGUAACCUUCGAGAAAGCCCUCUUGGACAGGAAAAAGCUCUUGAACAAAUACUGGAAUAUGAACUUCUGCUUAUUCAGCAACUGAACUUCCAUCUUAUCGUCCACAAUCCAUACAGGCCAUUUGAGGGAUUUCUAAUCGAUUUGAAGACUCGUUAUCCAAUGCUGGAGAAUCCUGAGGUUUUGAGGAAGACAGCUGAUGACUUUCUCAAUCGAGUGGCUCUGACAGAUGCAUACCUGCUCUUUACUCCCUCACAGAUAGCUCUCGCUGCCAUAUUAUCUAGUGGAUCAAGAGCAGGAAUUAAUAUGGAAAGUUAUUUAUCAGAAACUCUUUCGCUGAAGGAAAACAGAACAUCCUUAGCCGCGUUACUAGAUGGCAUGAAAUGCAUGAAAAAUCUCAUAAAGAAAUAUGAAUUGCCAAGGCCUGAAGAGGUUGCUGCUCUAAAACAGAAACUGGAGAAGUGUCACAGCUCAGAGCUUUCACUUAACACAAACCCGAAGAAGAGGAAAGGUUAUGAAGAUGAUGAAUAUAUUGCAAAGAAACCUAAAAUGGAUGAGGAAGAGUGGACUGAUGACGACCUGCUGGACUGAGUGUAACAGCAAAGGAAAAUGGAAUCCUACUGCUGCAGGAACUACUGUUCAGUGUAGAGUGUGCAUCUGUCUGCUACACGUUCCUUACUCUGUGUCACUAGCUGUAUCUCAGAGUGGGUUGCUGUGGCUAAUUUACCAGGGGGCAACUGAAAAGAAGAAAAAUCUUCCUAAGGAGUUUUAACAUCUACAUUUCACCGUGUGAGAGAUAAUGUACAAAUUAAGGCAUAUGGACAAGCAGUGACACACAGAACAGCAACAGUCUGGAAGAACACAGUAACUGCAGUUCCCUUCUGAACUACAGGAUCUGGAAUGCACGCAGUGACACAUGCGUGCUGCUGUGUAACUUCCAGUGAAGAUUUUUACCCCAAGACUUACCCCAAGCUCAUCCAAGAACAUGAUCAUGCGAUGCUUGUUGCUCUUGAUGAAAGGAUUUACCCCUUCCAUAUAUGGCUCCUGGUAAUUUUAAAAAGUAUUAAUUAGAACAAAUUAAUGCCAAUGUAAUUGGCAUACCUGAAGUGAAGACAGUGCAGCCAGACAAAUGACACUGCUACGCAAGUGUGCUAUCUGGAGUGAUUUUAUUUCUUCAGGUGAAUUUCUGCUAUCAAAAGACUACAGAAUUUGGUGUUGUCUUAUAUUCAGAAGAUUCAGAAUCUCUGAUUCAGAAGUUUUCUUUCAAGUGCAUACUGACACACAUUUGCCUUAAGAUGAUCACCUCUCAGUACCUACCUGCAAUGAAGAAAUGCUCAGUUUUCCAAAGGUAUAAUCAGAAAUAAGUGCCCUCUUUCUUAUGCAUUAACGCUCACAUUCCAAGUUAUGUGUGUCAGACAAAUAACUUUGUAAUGCCAGCCUGAAGUCACUUUGUUUAUGCUUAAGUCAACAGAUUUGUUUUUCAACCAUGUUUUGGCCUGGGAACUGAGACAGACCAGUUGUUGCCGGCACUGUCUUGGUGUUAUAAUAGAAUCUUUAUUGAGAGCUGGGGCUUUUUCAUGCAAUAUAUGUACACUUGAUUUACAACAUUAAUUAUGUCUGGCAAUAUGAAAAUGAGUAUAAAUAGCUCUACCGCAGAAAACACCCAUCUAAGGAAUAAAUGUGGGGUGAAAGCAGGUGAGGGGAAGAGUCAGAGGUUGGCAAUUCUUAAUUUGUUUCAGAAUUGGAUAAUCUACACCAAACUCAGAAUUUAGGCCUCAUUAGUCUCAAUGUGAAAGCUAAUUACUAUAUACAGAUGGAAGAUGUGUGUGGAAGGCAUUUCAAGGUUGUGUACAGAAGCACGCCACACAACAUCCUUCUCUCUAAAUUUUGAGAGAGAUGGAUUUGAUGGGUGGACUGUUUGGUGGAUGAGGAACUGGCUGGAUGGUCACAACCAGAGAGCUGUGGUCAAUGGUCAAUGAUUGGAUGGGCACCAGUGACAAGUGGUUGUCCAUCGGGGGUCCACACUGGGAUCAGAACUGUUUAGUAUCUUCAUCAAUGACACAGACAGUGGGAUUGAAUAACACCAAGCUGAGUGGUGCAGUUGACACACCUGAGGGAUGGGAUGCCAACCAGAGGGACCUGGACAAGCUCGAGAAGUGGCCCAUGUGAACCUUACGAAGUUCAGCAAGGCCAAGUGUAAGGCCCUGCACCUGCUCAGUAUCAAUCCUGGCUGGGGAAUGAAAGGAGAAGGACUUGGGGAUGCUGGGUAUGAAAGACUGGACGUGAGCUGGCAAUGUGCGCUUGCAACCCAGAAGAUCAAUCAUAUCUUGGGUUGCGUCAAAAGGAGAGUGGGCAGCAGGUGGAGGGAGGUGAUUCUGCCCCUCUGCUCCGCUCUGGUGAGACCCCCCUGCAGUGCUGGUCCAGCUCUGGGUCCUCAGCACAGGACACACAUGGACCUGCUGGAGAGGGGCCAGAGGAGCCACAGGAAUGAUCGGAGGCUGGAACAGCUCUGCUGGGAGGACAGGCUGAGAGAGCUGGGCUGUUCAGCUGGAGAAGCUCCAUGGAGACCUUCCAGCAGCCUUCCAGCACCUAAAGGAGACCUCCAAGAAAGCUGGAGAGGUCUUUUUAGAAUGGCAUGUAGAGAUAGAAGAAGGGGUGAUGGCUUUAAACUGAAAGAGGAGAGAUUUAGUUUAGAUAUAAGGGUGGCGAGUUCCUGUCCCAGGUUGGGCAGAGAGGUGGUGGAUGAACCAUCCCUGGAGACAUCCCAGGCCAGGCUGGACGGGGCUCUGAGCAACCUGAGCUGGUGAAGAUGUCCCUGCUCAUGGCAGGGGGGGCACUGGGCGAGCUGGAAAGUCCCUUCCAACCCAAACUAUUCUAAGCUACCACCAUCACUGUCACACACAGUAUGUAUCCUCCUGAUGCUUUCCCAUUGCAGAGUCCCAGUCUAGCAGUUCUCAGUGGCCUUUUUCAUACAGAUACGCCAAAAGAGAAUGUGACCAUUUAACCAUCACAGACACUUUGUUGUGGGAUUUGCUGCCUGCCUUCCCUCUCGAACUUCUCCACCCUAACGCAGAAAUACUGGGGUACGACUACCAGCUUUUCUGCUGCCAACGGAAAAAAACAAUGUUCCACAUACUUCCACGGUAGGCUUUAGAAAAACAUCUGAUGAAGUUGUCUGCGUUUUUGUAUUAUCAACUAUGGCUGCAUCACACUCGGUGAUACCUACUUGUGUGGUCAUUCUCUCAUCUGUUAUUUUAAGACCAUUACUGGUGUUUUUACUACCAGACUGGAAAUCUUCAUGGAAGCUACUAAGUCAUUAGUAUGAGUUUCUAGAUAGUUAAUGGCUCCUCUUCCCAAUUUGCCCAGACGUCACGCUACUGGUCUAGUUCAGAUCAACACCCUGUUUAGCUCUAAAUGAAGAAAGCACAAGAUACCGCACUAACGAGGCCUUCUUGAUGAUGAGGACAAACCAGGUGGUUUCAGGCUUUGCACAAGAAAACAGCAACAGAUUUUUGCCUGUAUUAACAGGAACAUUGAAAUGUACUGUAAGCAUAGUUCUAGGCUGUUAUCUGUCUGUAAAAGGAUAUUCACCUUAGCUCCAAAUUCAACCAGGUUUGCUAAAUUCUGCACAGACUUGGCGACCAGCGUCAGUGUUCUUGCAGCAGUGGGGGAAGGAGAAUCUGGUGGGAAUAAAAGUAGAGAGUUACUGACCAUUCCGUGUAAAACGAGCAGCAGUCACAUGAAAGUAAAGCUCUUCUCCAAUUCAUGCUUUUUCAUGGAAUAAAAUAUUUUUAAUAUUAUA